CUUAUCACCAAAAUUUUAUUAGUUUCAUAUAAAAUCUACUAUACAGUAAUAAUAAUAGCACAGGUAAGAACGUUUACUCAUCAAAAAAAGAGAAGAGUCUGAUGGUCGGCAGCACUAUCAAUACAUUGAAGAGACGAGAAUUUUGGUUAGCCAUGUAAGUUCUCUUACCUUAGCAUUCGAUCAUGCAAACUAGCUAGUAGGGUAUAUCUAGUCAUUAGAGUAGUGAACCAUAUGAAUCCAUGCUGGAGGGGAAGGGAAAUCUAAUCAAUGAAGAGGUAACAGAGAUUGGAGAGGCAGUCGGUAUUCAAUCAUCAACUUGGCUUUCCUAAUCAAUCUCUCAGACAACCAAUUUCAAAAGCACGAAAAUGAAAAUCGCGUCACUCACUUUUCUCACCUUUUGUUUUGUGUGAAUGCAACAAGAUUUUUAUUCAGGUCGGACAAAAUUAAGUAGCUACCGACCUACUUCAUGCAAAAG
This 475-nucleotide long non-coding RNA is filed under the name Olea europaea subsp. europaea. Lineage: Eukaryota; Viridiplantae; Streptophyta; Magnoliopsida; Lamiales; Oleaceae. The record is from RNAcentral.